CCGACCUUAGCUCAGUUGGUAGAGCGGACUGUAGAUCCUUAGGUCGCUGGUUCGAAUCCGGCAGGUCGGA
This 70-nucleotide transfer RNA is filed under the name Salix viminalis (osier). It matches the Rfam family "tRNA". From Rfam's summary of the family: Transfer RNA (tRNA) molecules are approximately 80 nucleotides in length. Their secondary structure includes four short double-helical elements and three loops (D, anti-codon, and T loops). Lineage: Eukaryota; Viridiplantae; Streptophyta; Magnoliopsida; Malpighiales; Salicaceae. The record is from RNAcentral.